Molecule: long non-coding RNA, 1434 nt
Organism: Pongo pygmaeus (Bornean orangutan)
Lineage: Eukaryota; Metazoa; Chordata; Mammalia; Primates; Hominidae
Exons: 7
Source: RefSeq, a predicted model, not a curated record
GUGGUCAUUAAGGACAAAGAGGAGAGAGACGGAUGUUUGCUCUGAGGAAGGCCUGCUGCUCAGGGGUGCCCUGCUGGCUUCAGGAGCCAAGUCUCCACCGGACAACUCUGGCCUGGCUGUCCUGCCACCUCCAGAACUUUCCCAGAGCUGAGGCUUUUCAUCCGAGACCCUGUUUCCCUACCUCCAGUUGUCCCUGCCUCUCCUCAAGAUGUUCGGAGUAUCUGCAAAGGUCUUCAAGUUACAAACAAUAACAAACACUACCAAAGAACAGGCUUCAGAAAAAUGGAAAUUGAUCUAACAAGGAAGAAGUAUUAUGAAACAAUGUUAAAAAGAAAUUGGUAAUAAUUGCCAACAGAGAAAACCCUUCAAAGAGAGUUGCUGCUUUUCCUAAGGGUUUCCAAGGAUCCAAAAACCUUCGGAAGUUCCAAGGAUCAAGUCCCAGGAUCUAAGCUGGACCUUUCCUGGAACAAAUUCCUUCAGACAAAUUCUCCACCAGACCAUCAACUCAGGAGGGCAAACAAGGAGCUUGUUUUCAAGAGCUGGAGCCAAACCACCCAGAGCUUCCUGUGCCAGGAUACCCCCCAAGGCUUCUCUGAAGGUCCUCCCUUUGUGCCUGAGUCUCUGCUUCUGAUGUGGUUCUGCAGAAGCAAACUAGAGCAUCCCCAGCCUGGUGGACACCUCCAUGCUGAGCUCAGCGCUGAGCUUUGAGGGUGUCUAAAACGGUCCCUGGAAUGGAUCAGAUGCUUACAAAGACAGACUUAAUGAGUGAACUUUACCAAAGAUCAGAGCUUUUGAACAAUGCACCCCCAACUCUUAGUAUCUACACUAAGUGUUCUCUGAUUGGGUGUGAUCUGAUGAAGAUUGUAGUGUUGGCAGGGUCUGGGGCAAGAGAGGAGGGGGAAUGUGGUCCACGAUCACAUUUACCAGUUAACGCUCAACUUCAGGAGCUCAUAAGAAAGCCCUUAUAAAAAAUGAGAUGAUGGUGUUUACAGUUUGAAUGUGGGAAUGAUCUAUCCUUCCUUGAGGACAUGACCUUCCUCGGGUUGAUCUUAGAACUAAGGGAGAUGGUUCCUGCCCAUCACUCCAGCCUAAUUUUGUACCACCAUCACUUCCUGCCUGCCAGCCUUAUUUUGCUUCUCAUGUUCUAGUGUCAAAGAUUUGGGUGGGUAAAGAACAAGAUGUAGGGGUAAAAUCUAAGCAUAUCAAAACUAUAGUUACUGACUUCAGACACCCUCCUUUACCUCAUGCUAUUCUUUUUGCUUCCUCUAGAAAAAGGCCAAUAUUUGGGAGCCUCAAGCCCCUCCCAGUUGUGCUAAAAGGACUCCAACUUUACAGCCAGCAACACUUAUUGCAGGGAAAAUGACUAAUGGGAAAUACAACUGAGGCCAAAUCCUAAAAGCCAAAGCUGGUUCUCACUCAAGAAAAAUAAACAAA